This 301-nucleotide ribosomal RNA is filed under the name uncultured bacterium. RNAcentral's name for it is "partial 16S ribosomal RNA". It matches the Rfam family "Bacterial small subunit ribosomal RNA", at positions 509 to 809 of the family's 1533-position model. The record is from RNAcentral.
CAGUAGCCGCGGUAAUACGAAGGGUGCAAGCGUUAAUCGGACUUACUGGGCGUAAAGCGCGCGUAGGUGGUUCAUUAAGUUGGAUGUGAAAGCCCUGGGCUCAACCUGGGAACUGCAUCCAAAACUGGUGAGCUAGAGUACGGUAGAGGGUAGUGGAAUUUCCUGUGUAGCGGUGAAAUGCGUAGAUAUAGGAAGGAACACCAGUGGCGAAGGCGACUACCUGGACUGAUACUGACACUGAGGUGCGAAAGCGUGGGGAGCAAACAGGAUUAGAUACCCGCGUAGUCCCUGUCUCUUAUAA